Unclassified non-coding RNA from Microcebus murinus (gray mouse lemur), 105 nucleotides. It matches the Rfam family "Y RNA". Rfam says of the family: Y RNAs are components of the Ro ribonucleoprotein particle (Ro RNP), in association with Ro60 and La proteins. The Y RNAs and Ro60 and La proteins are well conserved, but the function of the Ro RNP is not known. NCBI's taxonomy places the organism in Eukaryota, Metazoa, Chordata, Mammalia, Primates, Cheirogaleidae. The record is from Ensembl.
GGCUGGUCCAACAAGUGCAGUGCUGUUUAGAACUAAUUAAUCACAAACAGUUACAAAUUUCUUUGUUCCUUCUCCACUCCCACUGCUUCAUUUGAUUAGCCUUAA